GACGAACGCUGGCGGCGUGCCUAAUACAUGCAAGUAGAACGCACAGUUUAUACCGUAGCUUGCUACACCAUAGACUGUGAGUUGCGAACGGGUGAGUAACGCGUAGGUAACCUGCCUGGUAGCGGGGGAUAACUAUUGGAAACGAUAGCUAAUACCGCAUAAUAUUAAUUAUUGCAUGAUAAUUAAUUGAAAGUUGCAAUUGAACCACUACCAAAUGGACCUGCGUUGUAUUAGCUAGUAGGUGAGGUAACGGCUCACCUAGGCGACGAUACAUAGCCGACCUGAGAGGGUGAUCGGCCACACUGGGACUGAGACACGGCCCAGACUCCUACGGGAGGCAGCAGUAGGGAAUCUUCGGCAAUGGACGAAAGUCUGACCGAGCAACGCCGCGUGAGUGAAGAAGGUUUUCGGAUCGUAAAGCUCUGUUGUAAGAGAAGAACGGGUGUGAGAGUGGAAAGUUCACACUGUGACGGUAUCUUACCAGAAAGGGACGGCUAACUACGUG
Molecule: ribosomal RNA, 505 nt
Filed under: uncultured bacterium
Lineage: Bacteria
Description: partial 16S ribosomal RNA
Rfam family: Bacterial small subunit ribosomal RNA
Source: RNAcentral